Long non-coding RNA from Musca domestica (house fly), 660 nucleotides. RefSeq lists it as uncharacterized. The record is from RefSeq and is a predicted model, not a curated record. The transcript is spliced from 4 exons. NCBI's taxonomy places the organism in Eukaryota, Metazoa, Arthropoda, Insecta, Diptera, Muscidae.
GUUUGCAAAAUGUGAUUGCCGUGACGCGUUCGGUGUUUUCGUUAAAUUAAAGUAUUUAUUUAAGAUAAAUUCGAGUCAGUGUUAUAAAAUUUAUUGCGAAAAAUCUUUUAAAAAAUUUAUUAUUGUUGAAAUAGUGAAUUUAAUCUUAGAAAAUGUGUAUUCCUUGUAAGAAAUUAAUUUGUUGUCUCCUUCGUGUCGGGUUUUCGUGUUUCUCUCUGUCAACGUCGGUGUUCGUACUCCGUAUGUUUUGUGUGCUCACUGUUUAUAUUUUGGUCUCUUGAUCUCUCUCGCUCUCGGAUUGUGAAAUUGAAAAGCCCAGUUCAGCCUCAUUUGGUAGGACCUACUUACCUACCAAAUUGUAACACAAAUGCUUGGGAAAUAUGAGAAACAUGGCCGUAAUUGAGGCAUGUUUUAUUUUAGCAUGGAUCCUGCUGUUUUUACUUGAGAAUUUUUAUGGCCACAAAUCGCAAUGCAAAAACCGAUCUAGUUUUUUGCACGACUUUGUUAAUCCAUGGUGUCGGACAACUUGUGAAUGCAUUGAAUUACAUGGUGUCAACGCCACCAUACAUCUAGACAUUUUGGAGCAUCCGAUCUAUAGACUCUAGUGUAGCUGAUAACGGAUCUUACAUCAGACGAUUCUAGAAUGGCUUUAUACUAAUA